This 5905-nucleotide long non-coding RNA is filed under the name Sus scrofa (pig). RNAcentral describes it as "lncRNA (ENSSSCG00060055104.1)". Lineage: Eukaryota; Metazoa; Chordata; Mammalia; Artiodactyla; Suidae. The record is from RNAcentral.
AUGCUAAGCAGAAAGCUGUCUGUUUAGAGGUCUCUUUUCAUCUUGAAAGAGAAGAAAAACAGUAGCAAAGGACUUCCUUGUCAAAUCCUAGUUCAAGUUGAACUUCUAAAGGCUUGGAGGAGGCAUUUGUGACACCAAAGCUUUUAGGAGCAUUGAAAUGAAAACUUGAAGGGGAAAGAAAGCGUUUUCCUCCGUCUGUGUCUUGUUGCCUGGAGAGCCGUACGAUUUCACUCGGCUCUGAUUUUGUGAUUAAAACGUUGUGCAAGAUUGUGGUCACAUCUGCACCCCUGGAAGAUCCGUGGGUGAGGGUCCGGCAGCCUCCUUUCACUGAUGGGGUCUGAGCCUCGAAGGUUCAGGGACAAGACUAGGUUCAUGAUGGAAAUGGCAAAGUCAGAGAUGGAGCCUGGGCCUGCGGAUUCUGGUCCCAGGAAGGAGAGCCACAAGUGACUGUGUGACAAAUGUUUGUGGCAUGGGGACAGGCCUGCCAACCAGCCACCAUUUAGCUAUCCCAGAGGCUGAAGGAGAGCACAAAGACUUGGGAAUCUCCUCUCGGAAAGACAUUUCAUAUACUAGGGGCUUUAGGAGACACAUGACGAGAAAUGUACAAGAUGAGCCUAGAGAACAUUUUGUGGUGUUGGGAAGUAAGGAAGUGCUCCAAACCCAGAUUAAUGGGGUAUGCUAAAAACCCACAAAUGACCACUGGAAGAUCUAAUAGUCAAAGCGAGAACAAUGUGUGCAAGAAGUGAACAACAAGCAUUCGAUUAUAAUCCAAAGGAUGUAAUAGAUAUCUAUGAUACCACGUGGACAUAAACGAAUGAUGGAAUAUGCAAGUAAGUGAGAGAGAUUAGGCAAAUCUCCCCGGCUGGAGAAUACUAAAUAACCUAGCUCUUCCUCCUUCGAAGAGGGGGAGCAUAGCACCCCACUCCUUCAGUGUGUACUGCCCAGAGCAACAUCCUUCUAAAAGGGCAGGGUGGAAGGCAGCGUACCUCGGCAUGGAGAAACCUGGAAGACACACCUCGGCCAGGUGAUCAGGAGCAUCCUCAACACGGAUGAGUCAGGUUGGUCGUAGGUACCCUUGGCAGGGGUGAGGAGAAUGGCACUGGACCCCAGGGUCUUCCUGCUCCAAACCCAUAGCUCCAGUCUAAGCAUGACAAAAAUCUUGGUCGAACCCAACGAAGGGGCAUUCCACAAAAUACCUGAUCCGUACUCCUCGGAAUUACAGGGUCAUCAAAAAUAAGGCACGUCUGAGGAACUGUCACAGUCCAGAAGAGCCUAAGGAGAAAAGAUGAUAUCAUGGGAUGUGGCCAAUAAGGUCCUGGAAUGGACAAACUGGGGAAAUCUGAAACAACAUAGACUUUCAUCGAUGGUAAUGCGUCAAUACUGGUGUCUUAGUAUCGACGAAUGGGUCACAACGUUUUUGCUUUUUAGGGCUGCACACACGGCAUAUGGAGGUUCCCAAGCUAGGGGACGAAUCAGAGCUACUGCUGCAGGCCUACGCCACAGCCACAGCCACACGGGACCUGAGCUGCAUCUGUGACCUACACCACAGCUCACGGCAACACCAGAUCCUAAACCCACAGAAUGAGGCCAGGGAUUGAACCCGAAACCUCAUGGUUCCUAGUCAGAUUCAUUUCUGCUGCACUACAAUAAGAACUCCCAAUAGGCUACAUUAAUGUAAGGGAUUAAUAAUGAAGAAAACUGGGCAUGGGAUAUAUGCAACUCUCUGUAUUCUCCCUGCACCUUUUUUUUUUUUUUUUUUUUUUUGCAGGGGGGAGAUCUAAAUCUAUUCCCAAAUUUCUUAAUGACUUUGGUGGCAACUAGAGUGUCAGAUUUUGCUCCUAGAAUCACUGGCUUUGGUCCACUGCUUCUAUUAUAUUGCUGUUCUCUCAAGAAAAAUAUUUAGAGGAAUGUCUGUCUACUCCUUAUCUGCCAUGUUUUAUUCCAUCCCCACUGCUUAUGGUGUGCCCUCUUUAUUUCUGCAUUGCAUUUUUUUCUGUUUAUGGCUGCAUCCCUGGCAUAUGGAAGUUCCUAGUCUAGAAGUAAAAACAGAGGUGCAGCUGCAGCCUACACCACAGUUUGCGGCAGUACCAGAUCCUUAACCCACUAAGCGAGGCAGGGGAUUAAACCCUUACAGAGACAACGUUGGGUCUUUAACCUGCUGAAUUAUUCUGGGAAUUCCUGUGUUGCAUUUCUUUUGGCUGGUACUCAUGGCAUGUGAGAGUUCCCAGGCCAGGGAUAGAACUCACGCAACAGCAGUGACCCAAGCCCCAGAAGUGAACAUGUCUUCACCUACUGAGCUAGGAGGAAACUCCCCGUGUUGCAUCUAUUACUGUAUGACGGUGUAAGUUAAGUGUGUCUAUGUUAGCUUAAGAAAAUGGAUCGUCAAGCCAAGUGAGUGGGUUUGAAACGUGGCCCUCACCAAUCUUUGUGACGCUGCUUGUGGUCUUUUCUAGCAUCUCUCCCUAUCCUUGGCGAGGGUCUAGAGAGGAAAGGUGACAGAACCUUGAAGUUCCAGUUAAGGGUGUAAGGACAUUCCUGGGGGUUACACCUCCUGAGCAUCCUCUAAAAUCCUCCCUCCCCCCAAAACAACAUUUCAGAGGUUCUUCUCAAGUCCUCUGAGCUGAGUGUAAUAAAGGAGAAUCUGAAGAGUCCCAUGAAGCUGCCAAGUGUUCGUUCUUAAAGGACAGCCUUUCUGAUGCACAUGAAGAUACAUUUCCUCCCCUCUGUGUCGGCUGGAAUUUGGCACCAUGGAUAAAUUGGAUUGGACAGCAUAAGCCCCAAUUCCAACAGGCAAGUCAAACCUAAGCCCCAGAGGACACUAAAAACGUUAACUUCAAAGAAUGGAUUUUGUUCGCACAGUUCUCUGCUUUCUGAUUUUGACCAGGACUAGGAUGAGAAAACGAAGCGCUUUUCCCUUGUGAGGUGUCAACUACUCUCAUAUUUGCAGCCAUGGAAGCGUUUCUGACUCGGCAAACACCCUUGGAAGCCAAAGGGGAUACCUCUCCCUCUCUCUCUCUGUCCUCUCUGUCUUUUUUCUCUCUCUUUCUUCUCUCUCUCUCACUCAUCCUACAAAUCCACAGUCCACUUGCCCAUUUCAUCUUUCUUUUGUGUCUUUGCACUCACCUGAACUCUCUGACUUGCUACCUCUCACCACUUACCUGUUUAUAGAGAGAUGACAGGAUUUGCCUGGCCAAGUCUUCGUGUUAAAUUAACACAACCUAUGGUCCAGCCAGGCUACAGGGGCUCAGGGGACCCUAGCUGUGUCCUCUCCUCUCUUUGGAUCACGGUGUUUUGCAGUCUCACCAUCUCCCAUUCUAUACAUCCAGCUGUCCCUUCAAGGCAGGACUGCUGCCUCACUCACUCUCCUCCUUUUGGAGUGAUAAAGUACGCAUCUCUCCAAAUUUUGAGAAUAACAACAAAUAAAAAACUAUGUUAAAAACUGUCUAGGUCUUCUGCCUCUUUUGACUACAAAGUUAAUAGACUCUGUUUAUGUUGCUUUCUUAUUUAGCUUAUUUUCCCUGCAGGAAAUCUUUUCCUGCCAUGUUCCCAAGGAGAAUUUGCAGAGGUAGAGGGACUUUCUCAAGAUGAUAACAGUGUGUCAGAAUCAGGAUUCCAGCUCUAGAGUGUCUGUCCCUUGACCCCUGCACAGCCACUGUCCCCAAUGUCUAUGCUACCUUUUUCUUUUAUGCUUUGUUCAAGUACCUUCCCUGGGCUCCAUGGUCCCGGUUAUAGAAGAAUAAGCAAUGUGUGACCCUGCUCUCAGAAGUCCUUAGUUUGCCGACCUUCAGCCCUAGGAUGGCUAUUGUUGCUAAUAUUUAGAAUAAUUUAAAUCUGAUUUGUCAAGACUCCUGGCUCUGACCCUACACUCCUUUCCCUUUCAGUAAAAGAUGAUCUUGGAGUUCCCGUUGUGGCUCAGUGGAAACAAAUCCAACUAGUAUCUCUGAGGAUGCAGGUUCAAUCCCUGGCCCCGAUCAGUGGGUUAAGGAUCCCGUGUUGCUGUGAGCUGUGGCGUAGUUUGCAGAGGCAGCUCGGAUCCUGCAUUGCUAUGGCUGUGACAUGGGCUGGCAGCUGAUGCUUUGAUUCAACCCCUAGCCUGGGAACUUCCAUAUACCACAGCUGAGGCUGUAAAAAGAAAAUAAUAAUAAUAAUAAUAAUAGUAAAAGGUAAUCUUGGUUCUUACCUGCACCCUCUUCAUAGGGACUCUUGUCUCUGCUGACCAUAGCACCAAGACACCCCCUCUAUUCCUCCUUCCAGCCAACCCCAUGCCCAAACCUCCCUGGAAUAAUGUGCUCCCAGCACCAUAUUGACUUGUCACUUUGGAAAAUAUCAGCUGUCGUCCCCCUUAACUGGCCCUGAUGGACACAGCGUGGGACUUGUCACUACGUGUGAUGCCCAUAAGGAGAUUAUGAACACGUGAUGAAGGGAGAGAACUGGAGGGAGAGCCACAGUGGUUUGGGGAGAAAGAUGUCAGCCUGCAUGUUGUUUAAACUGGAAAUAUCCCACAGAGUCAUGCACUCCACAAAAUAAACAGUUACAAAUAACAGCUUCCUAAUCCCUAAAGGCUGGAUUUGAAACUUUACAAAAGGUCAGAAGUUCAUCUUUUUUAAAAAAUUGAAACGUAGUUAAUUUACAGUGUCGUGUUAGUUUCAAGCAUACAGCAAAGUGAUAUAUAUAUACACACAAUUCUUUUUAAGAUUAUAUGUUAUUUCAAGAAAUUGAAUAUGGUUCCCUAAGCUAUACAGCAUGUCCUCAUUGUUUAUCUAUUUUACACACAGUAGUGUGUCUGUGUUAAUUCCCAGCUCCUAAUGUGUUUCUCCUCCAUCCCUUCCACUUUGAUAACUGCAACUUUCUCUGGUUCCUGUGUCUGUGAUUCUAUUUCUGCUUUGUAAAUAAGUCCAUGUGGAUCAAUUUUUUUACGUUCCACAUAUAAGUGAUAUUAUGAUACUUGUCUUUCUCCAUCUGACUUGCCUCACUUAGUAUGAUAAUGUCUAGGUCCGUCUAUGUUGAUGCAAAUGGCGUUAGUGCAUUCUUUGUUACAGCUAGGUAACACUCCCGUGUAACGUACUAAGUCUUCUAUCCACUCUCCUGUCGAUGGACAGUUACGUUACUUCCAUCUCUUAGCUGUUUCGAAUAGUGCUGUUAUCAACAUUGGGAUGCCUGUAUCUUUCUGAAUGAGAGUUUUCAUCUUUUCCAGACAUAGGCCCAGGAGAGGGGUGGUUGGCUCUUAUGGCUCUGGUUCUAUUUUUAGCUUUUUUAAAGAACCUCCAUAUUCUUCUUCAUCGUGGCUCCACCGGUUGAUAUCCCCACCAGCGAUGUAGGAGGGCAGAAGUUCACCUUGACGAGAAGACAGAGGAGGACGGACAGAGCAGGUGGAAGCCCAUCGCGUGUGAAAGGCUCUUAGCUGCACUUCUGUCACCUUCCAUGAUGCUCUCCUGCCCUCAUAAACUUUGGGUCAAAGGCUGAUUUGGUUCAAUCCUCCUGAUGGACAAUUUACUCUUUUUUGCCAUAGUCUUUACAAUGGGUGGACUGUAGACCUAACAUCGCCACUCCCACGACUACAUCCCAGGGAAAUGAUGAGAUGAGCUCAGUAUGUGGAAGGGUGUUCACUGCAGGUAUAUUUAUUCUAGAUAACAUUUUGGAGUAUCUGUAGUUCCUGACAACAGGGAACUGUUUAAAAUGAUAUAUUGCAUCCCUACAAUGGAAAGAGAUUAUAGCUAUUAAAUAUCAUGUCUUAUAAGACUACUGAGUGAACAAAGAAAAUGCCCACAAAAACAGAUUACUAUAUGACAUCUACUCUGGUAAUUCCAAUUUUAAAAAGUAGAAGAAGGUUAUAUUCCUGUCAGUAGCUGGAGCUGCACCAAAAUGUAACAGUGAUUAUUUCCGGUGGAACUUAACACGUAUUUUG